Molecule: unclassified non-coding RNA, 347 nt
Filed under: soil metagenome
Description: partial contains 5.8S ribosomal RNA, internal transcribed spacer 2, and large subunit ribosomal RNA
Rfam family: 5.8S ribosomal RNA (bases 1-120)
Source: RNAcentral
GAUGAAGAACGCAGUGAAAUGCGAUAAUUAAUGUGAAUUGCAGAAUUCAGUGAAUCAUCGAGUCUUUGAACGCACAUUGCGCCCCCUGGUAUUCCGGGGGGCAUGUCUGUCCGAGCGUCAUUGCUGCCCUCAAGCACGGCUUGUGUGUUGGGCUUCCGUCCCUGGCAACGGGGACGGGCCCAAAAGGCAGUGGCGGCACCAUGUCUGGUCCUCGAGCGUAUGGGGCUUUGUCACCCGCUCCCGUAGGUCCAGCUGGCAGCUAGCCUCGCAACCAAUCUUUUUAACCAGGUUGACCUCGGAUCAGGUAGGGAUACCCGCUGAACUUAAGCAUAUCAAUAAGCGGAGGA